Molecule: ribosomal RNA, 440 nt
Filed under: Pseudomonadota bacterium
Lineage: Bacteria; Pseudomonadati; Pseudomonadota
Also listed under: 1 other name
Description: partial 16S ribosomal RNA
Rfam family: Bacterial small subunit ribosomal RNA
Source: RNAcentral
UGGGUUAAGUCCCGCAACGAGCGCAACCCCUGUCCCUAGUUGCCAUCGGUCCGGCCGGGCACUCUAGGGAGACUGCCGGCGACGAGCCGGAGGAAGGCGGGGAUGACGUCAAGUCAUCAUGCCCCUUAUGCCCUGGGCUACACACAUGCUACAAUGGCCGGGACAAUGGGUCGCCACCCCGCGAGGGGGAGCUAAUCCACAAACCCGGUCUCAGUUCGGAUCGCAGGCUGCAACUCGCCUGCGUGAAGCCGGAAUCGCUAGUAACCGCCGGUCAGCCACACGGCGGUGAAUACGUUCCCGGGCCUUGUACACACCGCCCGUCACACCAUGGGAGCUGGUUCCACCCGAAGCCGCCGGCCUAACCCGCAAGGGAGGGAGGCGUCGAAGGUGGGGUCGGUGACUGGGGUGAAGUCGUAAACCCUUGUGUUGCGACCUCCACU